UACCAAGUGAAGAGUCGAUUCUUUCUGAAUGUUGUAAUCCGCUAAUGUUCUACCAUCUUCAAGCUGCUUACCAGCAA
Molecule: small RNA, 77 nt
Filed under: Arabidopsis thaliana (thale cress)
Lineage: Eukaryota; Viridiplantae; Streptophyta; Magnoliopsida; Brassicales; Brassicaceae
Description: ATSL023430
Source: RNAcentral